GUAAUUCAAGGGAGGAAUGAUGCUCCAAGUGAAACCUCAAGAAAAGGAGCCUGAGUCCCAGGCCUGUGAUGGAGCCCUUCUCUUCCUGACCUUCCUUGAGCUGAA
This is a small nucleolar RNA of Sarcophilus harrisii (Tasmanian devil), 105 nucleotides long. NCBI's taxonomy places the organism in Eukaryota, Metazoa, Chordata, Mammalia, Dasyuromorphia, Dasyuridae. The record is from Ensembl.